GACGAACGCUGGCGGCGUGCUUAACACAUGCAAGUCGAACGGAAAGGCCCUGCUUUUGUGGGGUGCUCGAGUGGCGAACGGGUGAGUAACACGUGAGUAACCUGCCCUUGACUUUGGGAUAACUUCAGGAAACUGGGGCUAAUACCGGAUAGGAGCUCCUGCUGCAUGGUGGGGGUUGGAAAGUUUCGGCGGUUGGGGAUGGACUCGCGGCUUAUCAGCUUGUUGGUGGGGUAGUGGCUUACCAAGGCUUUGACGGGUAGCCGGCCUGAGAGGGUGACCGGCCACAGUGGGACUGAGAUACGGCCCAGACUCCUACGGGAGGCAGCAGUGGGGAAUAUUGCACAAUGGGCGAAAGCCUGAUGCAGCAACGCCGCGUGCGGGAUGACGGCCUUCGGGUUGUAAACCGCUUUCGCCUGUGACGAAGCGUGAGUGACGGUAAUGGGUAAAGAAGCACCGGCUAACUACGUG
RNAcentral lists this ribosomal RNA (468 nucleotides) under uncultured bacterium. Its description in RNAcentral is "partial 16S ribosomal RNA". It matches the Rfam family "Bacterial small subunit ribosomal RNA", at positions 28 to 507 of the family's 1533-position model. The record is from RNAcentral.